This 666-nucleotide long non-coding RNA is filed under the name Ursus americanus (American black bear). RNAcentral's name for it is "lncRNA (ENSUAMG00000013103.1)". The record is from RNAcentral. Lineage: Eukaryota; Metazoa; Chordata; Mammalia; Carnivora; Ursidae.
AAAAUCUGCUUCACGGCAGAGCUCACAUUAACCCCAUUCCUCCCCGGGAACGGUCUGUUUGUCCGCCUACCCACAUUAUCUCCCUCAGGAAAAGCUGUGGAAAUACACCCGGAUCGCAAGGCCCCUGGCUCGCGUGAGCCUACCCCAGGAGAAGCAGCCCAGUUACCCGACAUGGUGGUCAGCAGACGCUGGGGCGCUGGCUGGAUGCUGAAGCUGCAGGGACUCGGCGCCUCCCAGGGCUCCUGUGCAGGGAGAGAAGCAGAGAUGCAGCAUUUUUAAAGUUUCACAAAGCAUCCAGCUGCACCCAGGUUCCUGGAGCAGGAGACAAACAGAAUUAAUGUUUUAUACCUUCGGGUAUAGGUUUGAGUUUUUUCCCCCUCAUGCCAAGUAUUUAAAACCUCUAGAAACCCAUGAUUUGACAAUCAAUGAUUGCGCGAUACUUUCAAUUUGAAUAUUCAAAGGCUUCACAAAAUGGACUAUCUUCUGCAGAAAUCCUGCACACAGCCUCCCCACAGACAGUCCAAAGAAACAGGGAGUGAGACCCCUUUGGGUCCUGGGCCUUGCUUUUAGUGUAUUUUAAACAUUUUGCCCACCUUUCCACAGACAGAGCAGGAGUCCUCAAAGAUGCUCUGUAUUUCUGCCUCAAAGGCAGCUCCGGGAGCCCCG